RNAcentral lists this long non-coding RNA (785 nucleotides) under Bos taurus (domestic cattle). Its description in RNAcentral is "long non-coding RNA NONBTAT026962". The record is from RNAcentral. Lineage: Eukaryota; Metazoa; Chordata; Mammalia; Artiodactyla; Bovidae.
AAAGAGUUGAAAGGUGCGGCUAAUCCUAAAACACUUAAGAAUGAUUUUGAACAGUUAUUCUUGAUCCACUCUGAACUUGGAGGUUACUAUCCUUCAUGCUAGUAGCUCUCAGUAAAUAAAACAAAAGCUGAGGGCUUACAUCCCCAGCGCCACUAAAUAUUUUGUACUAAAUAAACAAGAAGAUAUGACCAGUUAAUAUUAUAGUUCUAUUCCUUACCUCGAAGUCAAAACUGAGCUCAAAUUUUCCACAAGUUGCUACUUUCCAUUCAAUAACAGAUGCAGCAGCCUUAUUGAAUGCAAAGAAUGGGAGUUGCACUUACUUUGAAGGGGCCUUUAUUUAGGAGUCUGGUAUUACCUAAGUUCUCUUUAAAAGUGCUUGCACGCUGCAGGACCAGGCCUUGUCACAUACCACUCCAAUUUUCACUAAAAACAGGGUAACAUUAAACAGACUGCAAAGAAAAACAUUUUCAAAAAGAAGACAUACAUCGAUAAGGAACACUAAUGUUUACUUUUGAAAGUAAAACAUAAAAUGUUAGCUUUCAUAAAACCAUACGUUUCAGGAAUAUAAGGAGUUUGAAUAUUACUGAAUCAGUAUGGACUGAAGAUAGGCUACUCUGAUACGAAACGAGGACUCCAGUUAUUAUCUUUCUAAAAAUGUUAAUACAUGAAAAGACGUUACAUCUAAAAUACAACACGUAUGGCAAACUGUGUGUGCAAGUGCACUAGCUUAAAAAUAUAGAAUCCUAACCACGCAUAAAAGGGGAUGUGCCUUAUAUAUUCAUAAG